Oncorhynchus kisutch (coho salmon) is the source of this 2028-nucleotide long non-coding RNA. NCBI's taxonomy places the organism in Eukaryota, Metazoa, Chordata, Actinopteri, Salmoniformes, Salmonidae. The record is from Ensembl.
CCGCCAAAACCAAAGGUGACAUUACUAAAAUUACCACAACUCUAUUUUUGAUACAAUCAUGUUUACAAUGGUUCCUCCUGAAAAUAUGACUGAACAUGAUAAUGAACACAAUACUGAACAUGAUAAUGAACACAAUACUGAACAUGAUAAUGAUCACAAUACUGAACAUGAUAAUGAACACAAUACUGAACAUGAUCAUGAACACAAUACUGAACAUGAUAAUGAACACGAUACUGAACAUGAUAAUGAACACAAUACGUAACAUGAUAAUGAUCACAAUACUGAACAUGAUAAUGAACACAAUACUGAACAUGAUAAUGGACAUAAUACCAAAUGUGAUAAUGAACACAAUACUGAACAUGAUAAUGAACACGAUACUGAACACGAUAAUGGGCACAAUACUGAACAUGAUAAUGAACACAAUACUGAACAUGAUAAUGAACACGAUACUGAACACGAUACUGAACAUGAUAAUGAACACAAUACUGAACAUGAUAAUGAACACAAUAGUGAACAUGAUAAGGAACACGAUACUGAACAUGAUAAUGAACACAAUACUGAACAUGAUAAUGAACACGAUACUGAACACGAUAAUGAACACAAUACUGAACACAAUAAUGAACACGAUACUGAACACGAUAACGAACACGAUAAUUAACACAAUACUGAACACGAUACUGAACACAAUACUGAACACGAUAAUGAACACAAUGCGGAACAUGAUAAUGAACACAAUACUGAACACGAUAAUGAACACAAUACUGAACAUGAUAAUGAACACGAUACUGAACACAAUACUGAACACGAUAAUGAACACGAUACUGAACACAAUAAUGAACACAAUACUGAACACGAUAAUGAACACAAUACUGAACACGAUAAUGAACACGAUACUGAACACGAUACUGCACGAUAAUGAACACAAUACUGAACACGACAAUGAACACGAUAAUGAACACAAUACCGAACACAAUACUGAACACGAUACUGAACACGAUACUGAACACGAUAAUGAACACAAUACUGAGCACAAUACUGAACACGAUAAUGAACACAAUACUGACCACGAUAAUGAACACGAUACUGAACAUGAUAAUGAACACAAUACUGAACAUGAUAAUGAACACAAUACCGAACAUGAUAAUGAACACGAUACCGAACACGAUACCGAACACGAUAAUGAACACAAUACAGAACACGAUAAUGAACACAAUACAGAACACGAUACUGAACACGAUAAUGAACACAAUACUGAACACGAUAACGAACACAAUACUGAACAUGAUAAUGAACACAAUACUGAACACGAUAAUGAACACGAUACUGAACACGAUACUGAACAUGAUAAUGAACAUGAUAAGGAACACGAUAAUGAACACAAUACCGAACACGAUACUGAACACGAUACUGAACACGAUACUGAACACGAUAAUGAACACAAUACUGAACACAAUAAUGAACACGAUACUGAACACGAUACUGAACACGAUACUGAACACGGUACUGAACACGAUACUGAACACGAUACCGAAUCCUCAACAAAAACAAAAGUGUAUGUUUAACGAUGGAGAAUUGAGGGAGAGCACACACUGUACUGUACUGUAGAUUCGGUUGGCGCUAGCUCUGGGGUUGUUUGUGUGUUCCACUCAUGCGUAAACAGAAGUUGGCAUGGCACGACAGUGGCUGCUGGGUUUCUCUGUCGCUCUCGUCUUAAAACAAACACAGAGGGGAGAAAUGGACUUUUAAUGGCAUCUGGGAGCCUCCUAAUCAAACUGAGGCCACAGAGAGCUGUGUUUAUGUAAAAAGCACCACACUCACUGUAAACUGUGUGAAUUUCCUGGCCUGAGACACUGAGACAGUCUCCCAGAGGACAGGAAGAAUAGAGAUAUUAACGUGGUGCCAACAGCCAACAUUUGUUUCAGAUUCAGCGUUAAAGGGAUAGUUCAUGUAAAAUACAUGUUUAGAUAUUUAUUUCUUUACCUUGAAAAGCAAUCCACAGUUUGGUUUUGUUAAACUAGCCACUGCAAA